AGGGCACCACCAGGAGUGGAGCCUGCGGCUUAAUUUGACUCAACACGGGAAAACUCACCCGGCCCGGACACCGUAAGGAUUGACAGACUGAGAGCUCUUUCUUAAUUCUGUGGGUGGUGGUGCAUGGCCGUUCUUAGUUGGUGGAGCGAUUUGUCUGGUUAAUUCCGAUAACGAACGAGACUCUGGCCUAUUAAAUAGACGGUAUAUCGAAAAGUAUAUCGCGCUUCUUAGAGGGACAAGCGGCGUCUAGCCGCAUGAAAUAGAGCAAUAACAGGUCUGUGAUGCCCUUAGAUGUCCGGGGCUGCACGCGCGCUACACUGAAAGAAUCAGCGUGCGCUUUACCUAGUUCGGGAAGAACCGGGUAACCCAAGUAAAUUCUUUCGUGCUUGGGAAAGGAAUUGCAAUUUAUUUCCCUUAAACGAGGAAUUCCCAGUAAAUGGCGGGUCAUAAGCUCGCGGUUGAUUACGUCCCUGCCCUUUGUCAAAACCGCCGUCGCUCAACGAUUGGAUGACUUAGUGA
Molecule: ribosomal RNA, 519 nt
Filed under: uncultured eukaryote
Lineage: Eukaryota
Description: SSU rRNA
Rfam family: Eukaryotic small subunit ribosomal RNA
Source: RNAcentral